GGGUUUUCUCCAAAGCACAAAACAAAAUCACUUCGACCCAGAAACAAGAACGUAGCUUUCAAACUCCAAAUCAAAAUUAAUGGCAACAACGACAACAAAUCAGGAGCAUCAGCAACAGGGAAACACAAACAAGACAGAGAAGAGAAAGCCGGUCUUUAUUAAAGUGGAUCAGCUUAAGCCUGGAACCACUGGCCACACCCUGAUCGCCAAGGUCUUGAACUCCAAUACGGUUUUGCAAAAGGGCCGAGCCACCGCCGCUUCUAACCGUCUCCGCAAUACACGCAUCGCCGAAUGUCUCGUCGGUGAUGAGACCGGCACCAUCCUCUUCACCGCCCGUAAUGAUCAAGGUCUAAUCCUAAUUUCCUUCUAUGAUAUUUAUAUAUGUGCACACUUUAAAUGAUGUAUGUGCAUCGUACGCGUAUGGAAAUGCUGGGCUCUUGUGAUGCAUGACUGGUUUCUGUGUGUUGAUUGGCGUUUUAAUUUGGUUGCGGUUCGAUAUUUUAAUAUGGUAAAGCUCUUGAUAUAUGUUGGGGUGAUUUGAAUUUUGGUGGGUCGUGGCCAUUUUUUGUUUUAAUGCCAAGGUGGGCCAUUUUUAUGGAGAUUUUGUUAGUUUACUGGUUUAGUUUCUUCUUUCUUUUUCCCUCUUUCCUUGAGAACAUAAUGAAGAUGUAGUGUUUUUGUAGUGUUUGGUUUGCGUUAGAAGAAUUGAUGCCUAAUUUAGUUUUGGUGUUAGUACAGAGUGAGUUCAACCUGAGACAUCUAGAAAUUUUCAUUUUUUUUGUUGAUUUGGCUCUAACUGGUUUCGAACUCAGGAUCUCAUGAUCCUUUAAGAUGACUCCAGUAAUACUCAUCAAAGUUCAUUGGUAGACAUCAAGAGAAUGUUAAUAAUGAAAGAAUGGCUUAAAUGAUAACUUUUUUCAUUUCUCCUUUCAAGUUAGUGUGAUGAGUUUUUAAACGCUUGAGUGGGAUUGCAAGCUUGCUUUCCUCUUUCUGACUCUCUAAUUGAGUUUUUAAGCCCCCCACACAAAUACACUGUACAAUGUGAUGGUUAAGACUUAAGAUGCCUGGCUUCAAACUUGACUGCAUAUGUUCAUGAUCAUGAUGCCUUUCUUUGCAUAUGGAGUUUUAGUUGAAGCAGAGUAAACAAGACUGAGAAUCAACUGUUGGGGAGCCAAAACUCCAUUUAGGUCUUGCUUGGUUUAAAUGAACUACUUCUUGGGAACUCUACUUCUUGGAAGUAAUUUAUUUAGCUUAGGGUGAGUAACUUACUUCCUUGGAAGUGGAUAAAAAAUGGCUUUUCACUUUUUAGGAAGUGUACACUUACUCCAAACCAAACAAGUUAAUUUUUUUGUGCUUGCCGGGAACUUGAAGUUCCCAAGUUAAUCUAUUUCCCAUAUGACGAAUUGAUUUUUGUCAUUUUUAUUACAUUCUUUCCCUUGUGUUGGAAUUUUUUUUUAAUUUGUGAGUUACCAGUUAUGACGAUGCAUUUAUGUCACCAAUACUGUCUCAGCAUGUCAAUGAAAUAUAUUGGUGAGUUGUAAACUUCACCAUUAUCACUGACGAGUUGUUGUUAAUGAUGCAUGCCUAUAUCUGGUGC
This 1597-nucleotide unclassified non-coding RNA is filed under the name Hevea brasiliensis (rubber tree). Lineage: Eukaryota; Viridiplantae; Streptophyta; Magnoliopsida; Malpighiales; Euphorbiaceae. The record is from RNAcentral.